AACGAACGCUGGCGGCAGGCCUAACACAUGCAAGUCGAGCGAACCCUUCGGGGUUAGCGGCGGACGGGUUAGUAACGCGUGGGAACGUGCCCAAAGGUACGGAAUAGCCUCGGGAAACUGAGAGUAAUACCGUAUGUGCCCCUCGGGGGAAAGAUUUAUCGCCUUUGGAUCGGCCCGCGUUGGAUUAGGUAGUUGGUGGGGUAAUGGCCUACCAAGCCGACGAUCCAUAGCUGGUUUGAGAGGAUGAUCAGCAACACUGGGACUGAGACACGGCCCAGACUCCUACGGGAGGCAGCAGUGGGGAAUCUUAGACAAUGGGGGAAACCCUGAUCUAGCCAUGCCGCGUGGACGAUGAAGGCCUUAGGGUUGUAAAGUCCUUUCAGCUGGGAAGAUAAUGACGGUACCAGCAGAAGAAGCCCCGGCUAACUCCGUG
This 433-nucleotide ribosomal RNA is filed under the name uncultured bacterium. Its description in RNAcentral is "bacterial SSU rRNA". It matches the Rfam family "Bacterial small subunit ribosomal RNA", at positions 29 to 507 of the family's 1533-position model. The record is from RNAcentral.